UUGUAUGUUUCUUCCUUUCUUGUUUCUUGACCUUGCUUUGCUGCUCCUGUUCCAACUUUUUCAGUGAGUUGUUUGGCUUGUCUUUGAAAUUUACGUUUCCCUCUAUUUACUAUGUUAAGUCCCGCAUAUUUUGAAACACUGCACUGGAAUUCUAAGUAAUUAGCAAUUUGGCAAAAGUUUUCUUUUUAUUCCCAUUUAAAAAUUCAAUAUUAGUUUCCAGUAGUAUGUUUUUGACACUGUCACUCUGUUACUCAUUUCUGAUUUGGGGGGCAUGAUGGUCUGAGAAUAUGGUCUGUUUGAUAAUGAAUCUUCAGAAUUAUUAAGUCGUCCUUUGUGACAUACUACAUGGACAGUGCUGUAACCCUUCUAUAUGUGUCUGAAAAGUCCGUCUUCUCUGGUGUUGGACACAGAACUGGACAGAGAGAGAUGGGAAGUUAAACACUGAGCCAGAGUGGACAUAUUCUACAGAUUUUCUGAGCUGUUGACAGUGGAAGCCCAGGCUGCGAGCCCAUUUCCAGGGAGAGCAGACAUGAAGGACGCUGCUUGGAAUGCGGAAAUAAACAGCCAUGCCCGGAAUGCCUUCACCUUGGGAUGCCUCAUCUUGGUCCCACGGGACCAGCUUCUCCUUCUUUUGGUAAAAUCAAGUGACCCUCUCUUGGGCCAGUUUCUACACAUCUCAAAGCCCCAGGUGCUGCCCCCAGUCCAUUUUCCCAUGGUCCAGAGAGUGGAGAUGUGGGGGUGGGGUGGGGGUGGGGAGGCUGUGUGCGACUGUGUAUUAUCCAGUUUAUGUACAUUAUACAUGAAGCAAGUAUGAAUUUGCUUCCCAUUGCUCGAAUGCAAGAAAUGGUACAGCACUUGAAGUUAGCUCUGAACUUUACCUCACCGAGAGGAUGAAAUGGCCAAUAUCGGGUAUUAUUGGGGUGCCCUUCCCCUACCCAGUCCCUGGGGACAACACAGUCCCGCAAGCACCUGAGAAAGGGCCUUCAGUUCUGGGCACCCAGGGGACCCCCAUCUUUCCAAGCCCAGGUGACCUGUUGGAGAAGCACUGGUGCCUGCCAGCCUGCCGGGGCCCCUGAGCAAGUACCCAUCUCACUCAGCAGCAGACGCUGGUCCAGACCCUGCUUUGGCGCCCCUGGAAGCGGCUCCUACAUCCCAUUGAGCAUGCCCAGCCCUGCGCUGUCAGCAGCUCCGACUCAGAAGCGCCCUCGUGUGGUCACGUAUGGGAACGGCGACACCCUUCACCCCCAAAGGGCCCAAGGGCCCGCCCCAGCGUUUGGGUCCUCGUCCUCCUGGUCCCCAAACCCCGCUCUGGGUCUGCAAUUCACCUUAAAGACUGGAGGCUGCUCCAGCCUCAGACACUGGAUGGGUAUUUUUCAUGUAGUUCCCAACCCCCCCCCCCAGAUAAGCAGAUUAUUUUAAAAUAGUGCGUGCUUUCUUUGUUUCCUUAUGGAUAAUGUUUCAAAGGAGGAGGGGAAGGAAAAGAGAAAAGGAGGGAGAGAUUGCUAAGAAGGCUUGAACAUUCCAGAGAAUGGUCAGGAAGGCAGGGAUGAGGGUAGUGAGCUGUAGGGAGGAUUGGCAGAGGGCUUUGUCUGGUGUGAGCAUUCAGGGCUCUGUCCAUCUCCACCUUGCUCCACCAUUACCCCAGUACCUCUGGGUCCCCAUCCCGCAGGUCCUCACCCUGCAGAGGUAGCCUCAGAAGAGAGAUGGUCAUCUUAAAGAGACAGUCAGACUUCCCAAGGCAAGUGGUCAACCCUGGACAGUCUGAGAGUCAGUUCUUUAACAGUAAAUCAACAAUUUAAUAAACCAAAAGUCAGUUAAGUUUCUUGUAAGUCAAUACUUUAAAUUUCCCACCUGAAGGCUGUGGUGGGAGCAGUGAGCAGGCUGGCUGUGGAGAAACGCACUCGGAGAAAGUCGCAUCCGCGUGGCCCCGGGCCUCUCGCUGGGUUGCUUCCAAGGGCCAAGCCAGCUCUGUUUGACCUGUCGCUAACACAGAGUUUUCUGGGUUUUCUUGCUCUCUUGUGUUUAUGGGAACAGGGGAGUGCUUAUUUUUCUCUGGCUCACAUUGUUUCUUUUGUCUUUCUAAUACUGUUUCUUCCAGUUCUCUGGGAUAACUUUUCUUGCUUAGGGCUCAGGGCUGAAUUGUGAUUUGUCUCGAGGUCAAAUGAGGGAUAUUUUUGUGGAAGACCAGGAAGGGAUGUUUUAAUUAGAGAGUCUGGGACAGUUGAGAGCUGUGUGUUCUUUUUCACUAGCAACACCUCACCAGGCAGAGUGAGAUCAGGGAUGACACCCCUGCCACCAAAGGCUAAAAGAGAGGUCCCCAGGCCCUUCCCUGCAUAAGCUCACUGCGGCUGGGCAGAGACCACUGCAGACAGGCCAGAUUUUCUACCUAUUAGCUCCAGCAUCUUCUCUGCUUAGGGUCAGUGGGAAAGUGUCCCUCAUGGGACGUCCCAGAUUUCAUCUGUCAUGGCUGCUGCUAGUGUUCUCUCCUUGGAGGCUUUCCCUCUCCCGCAGCUCCAACAGGUUUGCGGGUUCUUUCUCUGGUCUAACCCUUCACUCCUUCCACCUCUCAACCCUUCUCCUAGAGCCCUGGAACUCCGCAACCAGCCAGUUACCUCAGAGGCUCAACCUUGCCCCCACGGAUGUUUCCUCCUCUCCCUUGCCUUAAUUCACACAUUCAUCCAAUACUGGUUGAAUGAUCAUGAGGACUGUUGUUUUGAUGCUGAGGAGACAACGGUGGACAAAAUAAACCGACUCCUACCUUCCAUCCUUGUAGAGAGAGAGCGAGCACCUAACAUCUAUGAUGUCACAUGUGGUUAGUGCUGUGAAGAAAAAUACAGCAGGGUUAGGGGAGACGGAAUGAUGGUGUGGGGGCAGUGUGGCUAUUCUACAUAGGGAAGGAAAAAAAGUGCUUCAAAUAGAGGGGAGCCACGUGCCUCUGUGGGGGAAGGGCUACGGAGGAGCCACAGAGGGGCCAGUGUGACCAGUGGGGUGCGCGAGGGGUGAGUGUGAUGGGGGAGGUAGGAAGGCAUGCGGAAGCAUUGUGUAUGGGAGCCUGGAGUUCAGCAGAGUGUUAAGGUUGGAAACAAAAAACAAGGAGUCCUAAAUUUAUAUGUGUAUUAAAAUCACAGAACUAGGUAAGAUCACUUUAAAAGUGAAUAUAAAUAAGGGAAAAGAGAUGUUACAGGGGCGCCUGGGUGGCUCAGUGGGUUAAAGCCUCUGCCUUCGGCCCAGGUCAUGAU
Long non-coding RNA from Mustela erminea (ermine), 3239 nucleotides. RefSeq lists it as uncharacterized. NCBI's taxonomy places the organism in Eukaryota, Metazoa, Chordata, Mammalia, Carnivora, Mustelidae. The record is from RefSeq and is a predicted model, not a curated record. The transcript has 3 exons.